GGCCUCUUGGUCCAGUGGUUAAAGACGCUCCAGUCAAAUAACCGUUGCACUGGGGGUGGAUGGUAGGUGGGAGUGCCACAGCCACCGCCCGACCUUGUCGGGCUACCAGCCUCCUGUGUGGCGGUUGGGUAACUUGGAGAGACCGAGGUUCAAGUCCUUGAGGGGCCA
This 168-nucleotide transfer RNA is filed under the name Pyrenophora teres f. teres 0-1. Its description in RNAcentral is "tRNA-Leu for anticodon CAA". Lineage: Eukaryota; Fungi; Ascomycota; Dothideomycetes; Pleosporales; Pleosporaceae. The record is from RNAcentral.